CAACCCUCAAGCCCCCGGGCUUGGUGUUGGGGAUCGGCCGCCCUCCGGCGCGCCGGCCCCGAAAUCUAGUGGCGGUCUCGCUGUAGCCUCCUCUGCGUAGUAACACACCUCGCACCGGAACGCAGCCUGGCCACGCCGUUAAACCCCCCACUUCUGAA
Molecule: unclassified non-coding RNA, 158 nt
Filed under: Pseudocosmospora vilior
Lineage: Eukaryota; Fungi; Ascomycota; Sordariomycetes; Hypocreales; Nectriaceae
Description: partial internal transcribed spacer 2
Source: RNAcentral